RNAcentral lists this ribosomal RNA (398 nucleotides) under Salmonella enterica. RNAcentral's name for it is "bacterial SSU rRNA". It matches the Rfam family "Bacterial small subunit ribosomal RNA", at positions 53 to 447 of the family's 1533-position model. The record is from RNAcentral. Lineage: Bacteria; Pseudomonadati; Pseudomonadota; Gammaproteobacteria; Enterobacterales; Enterobacteriaceae.
ACAUGCAAGUCGAACGGUAACAGGAAGCAGCUUGCUGCUUCGCUGACGAGUGGCGGACGGGUGAGUAAUGUCUGGGAAACUGCCUGAUGGAGGGGGAUAACUACUGGAAACGGUGGCUAAUACCGCAUAACGUCGCAAGACCAAAGAGGGGGACCUUCGGGCCUCUUGCCAUCAGAUGUGCCCAGAUGGGAUUAGCUAGUUGGUGAGGUAACGGCUCACCAAGGCGACGAUCCCUAGCUGGUCUGAGAGGAUGACCAGCCACACUGGAACUGAGACACGGUCCAGACUCCUACGGGAGGCAGCAGUGGGGAAUAUUGCACAAUGGGCGCAAGCCUGAUGCAGCCAUGCCGCGUGUAUGAAGAAGGCCUUCGGGUUGUAAAGUACUUUCAGCGGGGAGG